AUGCAGCAGAGUUAUAAAUCAGCUGUAAAAAGUAAAAGCACAUCAUGUUUGAGAGGAAGAGUGAACAGCUGUGGGGGAACUGCAGGUAGGGCUCCUUUUGGAGAGGGAGAACGUGAUCAGCACGUCAGCAUUUGUUCAUGUUUUAUUUGGAUCCAUCUGGUACCCUCUUUGCUAUGUGUUACGAGCAUUGUGAAUAACUGUCUCUCUCCUCUCCUCCCCCUGAUCUUCUCUGCAGUGGUUUCUAGUGACAGUGAGAGCGACUCAGAGUUCAGUUCCUCCAGCCUGGAUGAUAAGCCCUCACCUGCAGGGUCAAAAGGCUCACAAGGCAGAAAGCACCAAGCAGGACUAGCACCCAUCAGGGAGCCCAGCCAGGCCAGGGGCAGAGUGCUGGGGAGCACCCACUCCCCAAGCCUCUCGGGAAGCCGCAGCAGCCUGGGCAGCGAGCAAGGGGCUGACCCCAGUGCCACGGAGAGCUGCCACAGCGACCAGCCGGCCGACGGGCGCGACGGUGAUGCCAGCAGCAGAGUCCCUGGCAAACGGCGCAUCCACACCAGAACACGACGCUGAUGGAGGUGAAGAUGGAGCUGCUUUGCCUGGAUCCAACGCUUGCCCCUUGCCCACUCCUGUAGACCUCGCUCCAGACAACAACUACUGCCAGUGGUGACCUCAUGAUGCUCUUGUACAGGCAUUAGCAACACAAUGGCACCUGGGGAAGCACCUGCCUGUCCUCCCUGCCUCACUAACCUGGUUUAUGGUUUGGUCUGGUUUCCCCUUCUGCUGACUGACUUGCACUUUGAGGUGCUGCUUGGAAAAGGGAGCUGUGCUGUGCUGCCGUGGGGUCCAGACCGGUGUGUGUUGGAAGGGAUGCACAAAGUGCUCAUGGAAGCUGAAGAAACGUGUGCUGCCUCUGCUGUUCCUGGCUUGUCAAGCCCAGCCCUGGGUUCAGCUCCUGGCCUUGCAGUCUGGCUUUGCAAUCUUCAGAAGAAAGGGAAAUUCACCCCUAUAUCACUGAAACGAGGUGUGAGGAGACUGCAGCCCUUCUACUGCUUCUCAGCCCAGGGGUGAAUUUCCCUCUAUGAGCCCCAAGGGAGAGACCAGGGCUUUGACUUGCACUUGGCUCCUUGGGACCAGGGUGUUACCCCUUGUGUUUCUUGUCAUUGUUGUUUUGGUCUGGUAUGAGUUUGGUGGGGGCAUCCUGAAUCAGCUGGUGAAGUCGUGCUCCUGUUCACUUCCAUUGAGGUCUCUGUGAUAGGGCUGUCUGCUCAGGGAGACACUUCGGGUAGUAAAGAAACACUCGAAGUUUGCUGUGAAUUUUUUGGUCCUCCUGGCUGUGCACUGGCUUGUGUGUCCUGUGGUGGUGUUUUGGCAGUGGGAUCAUAGGCAUUGCAUGUGUGCUGCAUCUCCUGGUGUGAGAAUGCCCACCACCCCAUGGCCCACUGGCUGCCUUUGUGUGUCCAAAUAGGAUAAAAGCUUUCAAAUUACUUUAUCUUGUUAAGCUCUGCAGAUUCUCCUUCCAUAUGCACACCUUGUCAUCUCUUGCAUUAGCAGAAGCCUUUGUUUUACCUUUUAAUGCAAGUCUUGAGCAUCUGGCUGACUGUGAUGGUGUCAUCAUGAGUCAGGCUGUAGAAAGCUGUGUACCCUGGUCCUGCUUAUUCUCCAGGAUGGACAAUAUCCCUCUAAGGCCUGACAGAUGAGAAAAAUUAAAUUACCUGACAUCUUUAGAGCAAUUAGGUCUUUGAAGUCCUGAACAAAACCCACAUUAAGCAAGUAGGAGUCUGUGGCUUUUAUUAAAUACUUUCGAUCUGACCUGUCUUUAGCAGAAGAAGCAAAGGAUUCCAAAAAGUUCCUUCUGAAAUCAUGGAUUUAAAGGCAAUUUGUGCCUGUUAAUGUCAGCCUUUUCCCCUGGUUAUUACUUCUGUUUUGUUCUCCUUUGCUGUUGGGUGCUUUGUGGUGUAUGCUCUUACAAAUGGCUGCAGUAUGAAGAUAAAUGAGAUUGGGUGUUGGAACACUCUAACAGGAGAUCGGAAAUAAGUCCUUGACUUUCCUUCUAAAUGACCAUGGUCCAACAGAGGAGCAUUCCCUUACUGCUUUUCCAGUUACCAUGCUGUGGCAGGUUGCUGGGAAAUUCCUUCCAGCUCUUCCUCUGUGAUCUGUUUCUGCCCUUUGAAAAAUGAAAACAAAACUUUGGAUGAUGUGGGCUUUUUGAGAUGGCAUAAAGAGAAACCACAUAACGUAGGCUUCACAACGUUGGUGUUGAAGAGAGCAAGGGAUGAGGUUGUACUCCACUGAGGGAUGCUUUAUGUUGUGGUCUGUGUUGUUUAAACCUGGCCAUUGAGACUCAACCAGUGGCAUCUCUGAAAGGGGUGAUGCCAAAAUUAUUAUUAUUUCUGAAAAAGUGAAUCCAAAAGUCAGCUUUUGCUGCAAUGUUGGUAUGAUUUCAGAGCUGAAGUUAUACUGUUUCUUCUGCGAGCUGUAGGGUCUUCAAUUUCAGAAGUGUUUUGCCAGCAAAAUAAGUCCUGUUUUGCCUUGGAGCUUUUGACAGUCCUACUGAGGCUGUCUUGCUUACACUGUCAUUACUGCAGUGCCUCAAGACAGUCUGGCCUGACAGCCUAAGUUAGUUCUAUAGAAGAAGGAGAAGGAAAAAGACACUUAAAAAUUGACUCAAUUUUCUUUAAACCUGUUACUUUCUCAUAAAAAAACUACACUGAGUUGGAAAGAGUUUUUAAACCAGAGCAUGUCAUUUCUAACUCUUCUUGUGCUUCAUUCCUGGGCAGUGCAGGCAGGUCUGCUGUGUUUUCACUCCUACUCUCACUUCCCACAGCGUUUACCACACUGUGGGUUGCCGGCUCUGCACAGGAACCUGGUAAUCCUUGCUGGCUUACUGUGCUGCUUUGAGGCAUGGGUUUGAGUUUUAACUGAGACUAGGUUUUAUAUAAACAGUGUCAGAGAUAAAUCUGGGACUGCUUUUGUACCAGUGAGACUGGAAACUUCUUACCUCUAUAUUUUACCUCCAUGAAGUAGUCCCACUUGAGUUCAAACCAGAACUGUUCAGUCGUCUAUGGAAAAACUUCUUGUGGAUUGAGGGAAGGAGAUAGCCCAGGAGAAUGUGAUCUAGCCACAUCUGAAUGUGAUGGAGGAACAGCCGUAGCUCAUAUUUUCUAUUAAAGACCGCUUUUCCCUUCGUCGCGUCUGUCUUAGUUGUGUUUUGUAGCUUUCAUUGGAAUAUUAUCCUAAACCUGUACCAUUUGUCAGCCUUUUGAGUUGGCUCAAGGUGGACAAGAAGGGCUCAGCGAAUAGUGCUUAGUCUGCUCUUGUCAUUUGUGUUUCUUUUAUUACUUUGUUGUUCUUGUCUCCAUCCCUUACAACUUUUAUGUAGUGUAUUAGUACUGGAAACAAUAAAGCUUUGGCUCAGUAACAA
This 3418-nucleotide long non-coding RNA is filed under the name Strigops habroptila (Kakapo). Its description in RNAcentral is "lncRNA (ENSSHBG00005015627.1)". The record is from RNAcentral. Lineage: Eukaryota; Metazoa; Chordata; Aves; Psittaciformes; Psittacidae.